Molecule: transfer RNA, 74 nt
Filed under: Caudoviricetes sp.
Lineage: Duplodnaviria; Heunggongvirae; Uroviricota; Caudoviricetes
Description: tRNA-Gly
Rfam family: tRNA
About the family: Transfer RNA (tRNA) molecules are approximately 80 nucleotides in length. Their secondary structure includes four short double-helical elements and three loops (D, anti-codon, and T loops). Further hydrogen bonds mediate the characteristic L-shaped molecular structure. tRNAs have two regions of fundamental functional importance: the anti-codon, which is responsible for specific mRNA codon recognition, and the 3' end, to which the tRNAs corresponding amino acid is attached (by aminoacyl-tRNA synthetases). tRNAs cope with the degeneracy of the genetic code in two manners: having more than one tRNA (with a specific anti-codon) for a particular amino acid; and 'wobble' base-pairing, i.e. permitting non-standard base-pairing at the 3rd anti-codon position.
Source: RNAcentral
GCAGAUAUAGUUUAAUGGCAAAACAUUGGCUUCCCAAGUCGAAGUUGCGGGUUCAAUUCCCGUUAUCUGCUCCA